UAAAAAGCAUUUUAAAAGGAAGGCAAGUGUCAGAGCAUAACAUGGACAAAGAACUGAUCACCACAGGAAAGCUGAAAGAAAUGUGAAGAAGACAUUAUAAUCCACGAGAAAUAUUUAAGACAAGGCCACAGUCCCUGCCAUAGUCCUAAAGGAAUGAAUGCCAUCAUUUCCAUGGGUUGAGAAAAGACAGAAGCCACCAAGAUGUCCGAGACAUCUGUGUCACCCACGAUGCUUUGUUGCUAAUUCUCUUCGUGUCUUCUGCCCACACUUUGUUUUGGUUGUCAAAGUUCGUUACUGAGACAAGACUAAGAUCACCCUGCUUUGACAGUCGAAGAUUGACUCAGCGUGACACACCAUGAGGUUCCUUCCUACAGUUAUGGUUCUGUGAUGGCUACAGAAAACAUGGGAAUAGUCUAUUCAAAAGAAAGAUAAGCAAACAAAUGAAAACACAAAAACAAAAAAAACUCUUCCCCAUACCAUCUUAUGUGUGAUCACUCUCCCAGUCUGAGCUUCGAAGAGAAUACAGAAUGACCACACAGCACAUGUUCCUCCUCCAUUCUGUCUGGACCCAACUCAUACUUAUUUACUGAUGGUUCCACGCUGGCAAGGUCGUCUGACAUCCUUCAGCAGGAAGUGUGGUGGUCUGGGCUCUUGAACACAUUAAUCAUAAUCAAACUUCAGAGAGCCAGAGGGGUGGAGGGACACUGAGUCCCUCUUGAUAAUGAAAAAUUCAUUCGAGUUGGGGGCGUCUUUACGAGAAGAAAAUGAGCUUCAGAAACUUGACUGCACACUAACGACUCUA
This is a long non-coding RNA of Mus musculus (house mouse), 802 nucleotides long. RefSeq annotates it as predicted gene, 34625. The transcript is spliced from 3 exons. The record is from RefSeq and is a predicted model, not a curated record. Lineage: Eukaryota; Metazoa; Chordata; Mammalia; Rodentia; Muridae.